Molecule: unclassified non-coding RNA, 293 nt
Filed under: fungal sp.
Lineage: Eukaryota; Fungi
Description: partial internal transcribed spacer region
Rfam family: Eukaryotic small subunit ribosomal RNA (bases 1-46)
Source: RNAcentral
AAGUCGUAACAAGGUUUCCGUAGGUGAACCUGCGGAAGGAUCAUUAACACGUAUCCACGUACCUACCCACCCCAUCUCUGUGAACCACCGGUCACGAACCUCGAGCGUACGGUCUUCCGGCAACGGAUUCCGUGCCUUGUUCGUUUCCACUUUUUUUUCACCCCAUUGUUGACUCUCCGUUUUGAACCCCCCCGAGUGGCCUGAUCCAACGUGUCCCUAGUGGACCCGAACCAUAUGGAUUUUCCAAAUGAGUUUACACAGCACAACUCUUAGCAAUGGAUAUCUUGGUUCUC